AUGCAGUCGAGCGGCACCUUCGGGUGUAGCGGCGGACGGGUUAGUAACGCGUGGGAACGUGCCCUUCUCUACGGAAUAGCCUCGGGAAACUGAGAGUAAUACCGUAUACGCCCUUUGGGGGAAAGAUUUAUCGGAGAAGGAUCGGCCCGCGUCUGAUUAGAUAGUUGGUGGGGUAAUGGCCUACCAAGUCUACGAUCAGUAGCUGGUUUUAGAGGAUGAUCAGCAACACUGGGACUGAGACACGGCCCAGACUCCUACGGGAGGCAGCAGUGGGGAAUCUUAGACAAUGGGCGCAAGCCUGAUCUAGCCAUGCCGCGUGAGUGAUGAAGGCCUUAGGGUCGUAAAGCUCUUUCGCCAGAGAUGAUAAUGACAGUAUCUGGUAAAGAAACCCCGGCUAACUCCGUGCCAGCAGCCGCGGUAAUACGGAGGGGGUUAGCGUUGUUCGGAAUUACUGGGCGUAAAGCGCACGUAGGCGGAUCAGAAAGUUGGGGGUGAAAUCCCAGGGCUCAACCCUGGAACGGCCUCCAAAACUCCUGGUCUUGAGUUCGAGAGAGGUGAGUGGAAUUCCGAGUGUAGAGGUGAAAUUCGUAGAUAUUCGGAGGAACACCAGUGGCGAAGGCGGCUCACUGGCUCGAUACUGACGCUGAGGUGCGAAAGUGUGGGGAGCAAA
Molecule: ribosomal RNA, 670 nt
Filed under: Seohaeicola sp.
Lineage: Bacteria; Pseudomonadati; Pseudomonadota; Alphaproteobacteria; Rhodobacterales; Roseobacteraceae
Description: bacterial SSU rRNA
Rfam family: Bacterial small subunit ribosomal RNA
Source: RNAcentral